GAUGAAGAACGUAGCGAAAUGCGAUAAGUAAUGUGAAUUGCAGAAUUCAGUGAAUCAUCGAAUCUUUGAACGCACAUUGCGCCCGCCAGCAUUCUGGCGGGCAUGCCUGUUCGAGCGUCAUUUCAACCCUCAAGCUCUGCUUGGUGUUGGGGCCCUACGGUUGACGUAGGCCCUUAAAGGUAGUGGCGGACCCUCUCGGAGCCUCCUUUGCGUAGUAACUAACGUCUCGCAUUGGGAUUCGGAGGGACUCUUGCCGUAAAACCCCCAAAUUUUCUAAUGGUUGACCUCGGAUCAGGUAGGAAUACCCGCUGAACUUAAGCAUAUCAAACGGAGGA
Molecule: unclassified non-coding RNA, 335 nt
Filed under: soil metagenome
Description: partial contains 5.8S ribosomal RNA, internal transcribed spacer 2, and large subunit ribosomal RNA
Rfam family: 5.8S ribosomal RNA (bases 1-120)
Source: RNAcentral